This 1357-nucleotide ribosomal RNA is filed under the name uncultured marine eukaryote. Its description in RNAcentral is "SSU rRNA". It matches the Rfam family "Eukaryotic small subunit ribosomal RNA", at positions 412 to 1781 of the family's 1831-position model. The record is from RNAcentral.
CCAUUCAAGGGAGGCAGCAGGCGCGCAAUUACCCAAUCCUGACUCAGGGAGGUAGUGACAAGAAAUAACAAUAAACCGGCUUAUGCCGGUUUAAUUGGAAUGAGUACAAUUUAAACAUCUUAACGAGGAACAAUUGGAGGGCAAGUCUGGUGCCAGCAGCCGCGGUAAUUCCAGCUCCAAUAGCGUAUACUAAAGUUGUUGCAGUUAAAAAGCUCGUAGUUGGAUUUCUGUGGGGACGGAGCGGCCGGCCGCACAUCGCGGUUCGAGCUAGCGCUUUCCCUACAUCCUGCCGCGAACCGUGCUACCAUUAAUUUGGUGGCGCCGGGGAUCGGCUCGAUUACUUUGAGAAAAAUAGAGUGUUCAAAGCAGGCCACAUGCCUUGAAUAAGUUAGCAUGGAAUAAUAACUAAGGACUUCGGUUCUAUUUUGUUGGUGUUCGGGACUGAAGUAAUGAUUGAUAGGGACAGUUGGGGCGGUCUGUAUUCCAAAGCGAGAGGUGAAAUUCUUAGACCUUCGGAAGACAAACAGCUGCGAAAGCGUUCCGCAAGGAUGUUCCCUUUGAUCAAGAACGAAAGUUGGGGGAUCGAAGACGAUCAGAUACCGUCGUAGUCUCAACUAUAAACUAUACCAGCUAGGGAUCGGCCAACGUUAUUUUAUACCGACUUGGUCGGCACCUUAUGAGAAAUCAAAGCAUCUGGGUUCCGGGGGGAGUAUGGUCGCAAGGCUGAAACUUAAAGGAAUUGACGGAAGGGCACCACCAGCCGUGGAGCCUGUGGCUUAAUUUGACUCAACACGGGAAAACUUACCAGGUCCAGACAUAGUAAGGAUUGACAGAUUGAUAGCUCUUUCUUGAUUCUGUGGGUGGUGGUGCAUGGCCGUUCUUAGUUGGUGGGGUGAUUUGUCUGGUUAAUUCCGUUAACGAACGAGACCCCAGCCUGCUAAAUAGCGCGCGUGAGCUUUGCUCGCGGCGAGCUUCUUAGAGGGACUAUGAUGCGCGAUAGCACAUGGAAGUUUGGGGCAAUAACAGGUCUGUGAUGCCCUUAGAUGUUCUGGGCCGCACACGGGCUACACUGGCGCCUGCAACGAGCAUAUCAGCUGGCCCGAGAGGGUCUUGGCUAAUCUUUUGAACCGGCGCCGUGCUUGGGAUUGACCUUUGCAAUUGUUGGUCAUGCAACGAGGAAUGCCUUGUAAACGCGAGUCAUCAGCUCGCAUUGAAUACGUCCCUGCCCUUUGUACACACCGCCCGUCGCUCCUACUGAUGAAUGUUCCGAUGAAAUAAUCGGAGAGCACCUGUGAAGAUGGCUGUUCCCGCGAAGAAAAAGGAAACAAAAACAAAAAAAUAUUACUUAUAAUAAAUU